Molecule: long non-coding RNA, 1387 nt
Organism: Erpetoichthys calabaricus (reedfish)
Lineage: Eukaryota; Metazoa; Chordata; Cladistia; Polypteriformes; Polypteridae
Exons: 3
Source: RefSeq, a predicted model, not a curated record
AAGAAAGGAAAAAUCCAAAUUCAGAAGAUAAAGGAAGCGAAUAUGGAUAAAAUCUAACAAAAUUCAGACUGACAGGAAGUAAAAGUAAGGUGAAAAAACAAAGGGAGACAAUAAGAAGCUCAAAGAAAACUCCAACUGCAAGAGAGCAACUUAGAAGACGUCGUCAAUUAAAGAGCAUUGUUGAGCAGGCCGAGGCACGGAGUUAGCAGCAAACAGCAGCAGGCGAGACAACUACAAGCAGCACUCUCCUCUCCGAAAGGACCUCCUCAGUUGAGUCAUGGAGAACUCUCCAAGUCUAUUAAAUCCACUGACUUCCCCAGCGCUGAUGGUCAUGGCCUCUGCAGCUGCUGAUUCUUCAAGAGGACCCACCGCUUCACCCUGCCAGCAGCAGUUUGGGGUGCCCGUGACAGUUGAAAAUUCAGUGCCCUUCCUCGCGCAUCUUACUCGCUUUCGCUGCCAUGUACCACCAUUCUGAGAGGCUCUCGGGUGCACGGGAGUUUCACUCUUCACACCUUCUUCCAUUUCCCCACCCUCCAACUUUCGGGCAUCCAGGCCUGGGCGGCUAUGGAACGCUGCGCCCUUUUCACCCCGACUCACAUGCCAUUUCCAGAUGAGGUGGAAAGGUUUUCAAAUGCUUAUGCAGCUGCUGUUGCAGCUGCCAAUGCCUCAGUGAGUGGUAGCAACGUAAAGCUGACCAAGCUGCCUUCCUCAGAGCCCCCACAGAUCCGCUACCUCACCUUGGAAAAAGAGACUGGGUCAGCAACCUCUGGAAUGGUGGACAAGAGAAGAGCUUCUCCAUUAUCCGCCUCUGGGUCUGUUGCUUGUCCCCGUUGGACAGUUUGAGAGCUUCAUUUCAUCAGGAAAGAUCAUCAGGACAGCAAGUGGGCAUCUCCGACGCACUCCGAGCCCCCUGACGAGCAGUUCUAACAAGAAAGAAAAGAGGAGCGAGGUGUUGCUGAACCUGCAAUGUCCGCUGUGUCACACUGAGCUCACAAGGGCAGAGCUGCGCGAUCAUCUGCAGUGUGAGAUUGAGAGGUUGACUCAGUUCAGCCCCAGGUAAGAGGUUCAUGCCAGCCAUUGUGUAAGGAGCUCUGUGUAUUUUACUUGAAUUGGUGACUGACUGGUGACUUUAAGUCUCUCUAUAAAAUGGGUCUAAAGUUAACUGCUUAUUUUCUUGCGGGUUAAUUCAUUCAUUGUGUUUGCAUGCUGACUUUUCAUUAAAAAAAUUCACCAUGAAUAAAGCUUGUGUUGUGCUUUCUGAGCACACUGGCAGUGCCCAUGCUCACAUGACUUGUUAAGCAAGGAUGAAGAACAGCCCCGGGGUGGCAUUUGGAGUCUGUGUCUGGCUAGUCUAUGAAAGUCAUUCUUUUGCUGUGUGACAGGAGGU